This 448-nucleotide long non-coding RNA is filed under the name Bos taurus (domestic cattle). RNAcentral's name for it is "long non-coding RNA NONBTAT007369". The record is from RNAcentral. Lineage: Eukaryota; Metazoa; Chordata; Mammalia; Artiodactyla; Bovidae.
CUCAAGGCAGAGCUUUAUCUUAGACCUUUGGGGAUGUGCCUCCCAUGAAAAGAGCACCAGAAAUUCAAGGCAAUCAUCUAAAUCACUCAGAUCUUCGAUAUAAAACUUUAGAUGGUAAGUUCUGAAUCAAGUAGUUAUCAGAUUUGAUUCUUAUUUUUGGGAGUGGAAACACAACCCAUAGCCUGCAGAAUUGCCAUGUUCCAUAAAAUAUAAAUAUUGACUUCUCUUUAACUACUCAUCAGCUUCGAUGUUCAGGAAAGUCUAAAGAAAGGUUGCCAAAAUGCCUGGUUUUUGGAUUUGAACUGGUGGAUGCUAAGAAAGGUUAGGGGAAAUUCAGUUUAUGGGGAGAUGUACUCUUGGUCAGUAAGGUCAGGAAUCCCAACAGCUGGUUAAUUAGAAAGUCUCAGAUCAUUUCCACCUGUGCACAGAGACAUAUGUCAUUUGCGAG